Molecule: non-coding RNA, 145 nt
Organism: Mycena polygramma
Lineage: Eukaryota; Fungi; Basidiomycota; Agaricomycetes; Agaricales; Mycenaceae
Source: the annotation of a GenBank genome assembly
GCAUUAAUGGGGUAGUGGUAACCUGGGUCGUUGCCUAAGCGACACCCCCAAAAAUGCCGCGCAGCGGCAUUUUUGGGGGUGGAGCAUUUCCGGAUUUCUCAGUCAGAAAUUCCACCCGCCGGGGGUUCGAUUCCCUCUUAAUGCA